Molecule: ribosomal RNA, 397 nt
Filed under: Hypolestes hatuey
Lineage: Eukaryota; Metazoa; Arthropoda; Insecta; Odonata; Megapodagrionidae
Description: partial 16S ribosomal RNA
Rfam family: Archaeal large subunit ribosomal RNA
Source: RNAcentral
UUUAACGGCCGCGGUACCAUGACCGUGCAAAGGUAGCAUAAUCAUUAGUCUUUUAAUAGAGGGCUGGAAUGAAAGGUUUGACGAGAUAUUGACUGUCUCAUUUUGAUGAUUUUAAAAUUUAAUUUUUAAGUUAAAAAGCUUAAAUGUUUUUGGAAGACGAGAAGACCCUAUAGAGCUUUAUAGUUAUAUAUUUUAAUAGUUUUGGUUUAUGUAGUUUAUAUUAUUCUGUAUAACUUUUUUGUUGGGGUGACAAGAAAUAUAUAUUUAACUUUUAUUAACUAUGAAACACUUAUUUGUGACUAUUAGAUCCUUUUUUAUUGAUUAUUAGAUUAAGUUACCUUAGGGAUAACAGCGUAAUCCCCUUUUGGAGUUCUUAUUUACAAGGGGGCUUGCGACC